Molecule: transfer RNA, 72 nt
Filed under: Exophiala dermatitidis
Lineage: Eukaryota; Fungi; Ascomycota; Eurotiomycetes; Chaetothyriales; Herpotrichiellaceae
Also listed under: 2 other names
Description: tRNA-Arg
Rfam family: tRNA
About the family: Transfer RNA (tRNA) molecules are approximately 80 nucleotides in length.
Source: RNAcentral
UGGCAUAUAACACAAUGGUUAGUGUAUAUUAUUACGAAUGAUAAAAUGUAAGUUCGAUUCUUACUAUGCCAU